GUCUAUGGCCACACCACCCUGAACGCACCCGAUUGUCUGAUCUUGGAAGCUAAGCAGGGUGGGACCUGGUUAGUACUUGGAUGGGAGGAGGGUGAGGGUGGAGUCAGCCCCCUUGGCAAGCCAGUGCAGCAGUAGUUG
Molecule: ribosomal RNA, 138 nt
Filed under: Carlito syrichta (Philippine tarsier)
Lineage: Eukaryota; Metazoa; Chordata; Mammalia; Primates; Tarsiidae
Source: RNAcentral